UAGGGAAUCUUCGGCAAUGGGCGGAAGUCUGACCGAGCAACGCCGCGUGAGUGAAGAAGGUUUUCGGAUCGUAAAGCUCUGUUGUUAGAGAAGAACGUUGGUAGGAGUGGAAAAUCUACCAAGUGACGGUAACUAACCAGAAAGGGACGGCUAACUACGUGCCAGCAGCCGCGGUAAUACGUAGGUCCCGAGCGUUGUCCGGAUUUAUUGGGCGUAAAGCGAGCGCAGGCGGUUCUUUAAGUCUGAAGUUAAAGGCAGUGGCUUAACCAUUGUACGCUUUGGAAACUGGAGGACUUGAGUGCAGAAGGGGAGAGUGGAAUUCCAUGUGUAGCGGUGAAAUGCGUAGAUAUAUGGAGGAACACCGGUGGCGAAAGCGGCUCUCUGGUCUGUAACUGACGCUGAGGCUCGAAAGCGUGGGGAGCAAACAGGAUUAGAUACCCUGGUAGUCCACGCCGUAAACGAUGAGUGCUAGGUGUUAGGCCCUUUCCGGGGCUUAGUGCCGCAGCUAACGCAUUAAGCACUCCGCCUGGGGAGUACGACCGCAAGGUUG
This 550-nucleotide ribosomal RNA is filed under the name uncultured bacterium. Its description in RNAcentral is "bacterial SSU rRNA". It matches the Rfam family "Bacterial small subunit ribosomal RNA", at positions 355 to 896 of the family's 1533-position model. The record is from RNAcentral.